Molecule: ribosomal RNA, 253 nt
Filed under: uncultured bacterium
Lineage: Bacteria
Description: partial 16S ribosomal RNA
Rfam family: Bacterial small subunit ribosomal RNA
Source: RNAcentral
UAUGUAGGGAGCAAGCGUUGUCCGGAAUCAUUGGGCGUAAAGCGCGCGUAGGUGGCCUCAUAAGUCCGCUGUGAAAGUCAAAGGCUCAACCUUUGAAAGCCGGUGGAUACUGUGGGGCUAGAGUACGGAAGAGGCGAGUGGAAUUCCUGGUGUAGCGGUGGAAUGCGCAGAUAUCAGGAGGAACACCAAUAGCGAAGGCAGCUCGCUGGGACGUUACUGACACUGAGGCGCGAAAGCGUGGGGAGCGAACAGG